Molecule: long non-coding RNA, 1065 nt
Filed under: Felis catus (domestic cat)
Lineage: Eukaryota; Metazoa; Chordata; Mammalia; Carnivora; Felidae
Description: lncRNA (ENSFCAG00000051065.1)
Source: RNAcentral
ACAUCCAAACCCUGGCGCCCCCGGAAUUGUACAUUUCGGCCUGCGCGGUGUGCGGAGUCCGUGUGGCGUGUGCUCAGAGCGAGUGCGCGAUGUGUCUGUGGCUUGCAUGAUGAUGAGCUGCGAGUACCUGGCAGCUGUGAAUCUGGGUGCGGGCUGGGUCUAGGGACUGCGGGUGCCUGCGUGGAGUUUUCCCUGGGCCGGGAACUCCCUCUCCCACGCUCCGUUUCGCCCCCUCUUCCUCCAAAGUUUGGCGGGCCGCCCGGACGGGGAAGGUUGGGGGGCGCACGGCUGGGCGGCCUUGCCCGGGCCUCGGAGGCGGUUCCGGGACGCCGGCGCCCUACUUACCCCGGCCGCCGAGCCUCCUCCGGCGGGGGCGGAUCCGACUGUCCGCGGCUGGGGUCCGGCGCUUGCAGCAUCCGCUCGCAACUUUGCCCUCCUCUGCGUAGAGCCCGGCAGAAGCAGCUCAGCGGCUCCGAUCCCUCGCGGCCCGGGCUCUGUGCUCCCCCGGAGGCGGCGGCGGCGGCGGCGGCGGCGGGGAGGGAGGGAGGCGCGGCCCCGCCGGUUCGCACGCCGAGCGGGAAGCGGCGCCAGGCGGGCGCCGUCCUGCGCAGCGAGCGAGCGAGCGGUCCUGCCUGGCGCCCUCCCCGCUCGGGCCCGAGCCCGCGAGCGGCCCGCGGCGGCGGCGGAUUCCUGAACCGCGUCCAAGGCGCCCGGGGAGCCCUCCUCCUCGUCCUCCUCCUCCUCCUCCUCUCCUUCCUCACCCCACCCAGCUCCCAGCCCUGCGCGCCCAGCAACUUGGGAACCGUUGGCGAAGUUGGCGCAGCUUGGGCAGCGCGCCGGCCCGGCCUCUGGCUGGAAGGAGGGGAGGAGAGGGAGGAGCUGAGGGGGGAGGGAGGGGGCCCGCCCCCGCCCCCGGGGAGCCGCGCUCUCCGGGACCCCUCUGUGGGCCUUUGUUCCGGGCACUGCACCUCGGCCCGCCCUCCCCGGGGACUCGCUGGGGGCCUCUCGGAUCCCCCACCUCCUCGCAGAGAGACUGGGAGGAGCUCCCGGCCCCGGGGUGGGUAG